GUGCCAGCCGCCGCGGUAAUACGGAGGGUCCGAGCGUUAUCCGGAAUCAUUGGGUUUAAAGGGUCCGCAGGCGGUCAAUUAAGUCAGAGGUGAAAUCCCAUAGCUUAACUAUGGAACUGCCUUUGAUACUGGUUGACUUGAGUCAUAUGGAAGUAGAUAGAAUGUGUAGUGUAGCGGUGAAAUGCAUAGAUAUUACACAGAAUACCGAUUGCGAAGGCAGUCUACUACGUAUGUACUGACGCUGAGGGACGAAAGCGUGGGGAGCGAACAGGAUUAGAUACCCUGGUAGUCCACGCCGUAAACGAUGGAUACUAGUUGUUGGGCAUUAGCUCAGUGACUAAGCGAAAGUGGUAAGUAUCCCACCUGGGGAGUACGGUCGCAAGACUGAAACUCAAAGGAAUUGACGGGGGCCCGCACAAGCGGUGGAGCAUGUGGUUUAAUUCGAUGAUACGCGAGGAACCUUACCAGGGCUUAAAUGUAGUCUGACAGCUUUAGAGAUAGAGUUUUCUUCGGACAGAUUACAAGGUGCUGCAUGGUUGUCGUCAGCUCGUGCCGUGAGGUGUCAGGUUAAGUCCUAUAACGAGCGCAACCCCUGUCAUUAGUUGCCAGCAUGUAAAGAUGGGGACUCUAAUGAGACUGCCGGUGCAAACCGCGAGGAAGUGGGGAUGACGUCAAAUCAUCACGGCCCUUACGUCCUGGGCCACACACGUGCUACAAUGGUAUGGACAAU
RNAcentral lists this ribosomal RNA (730 nucleotides) under uncultured bacterium. Its description in RNAcentral is "SSU rRNA". It matches the Rfam family "Bacterial small subunit ribosomal RNA", at positions 505 to 1243 of the family's 1533-position model. The record is from RNAcentral.